GGAAAUCAUUUGAGCGCAGGAGAGAAGACCAAACGGAUUUGUUUCGGAAAACAACCAGAACCUUAGAUUCUCCGGUGCAAAAGUCGGUGCAAAGCCGCAGAAGAACCACAGACUUGGGCUCCCCAAGCUCUCACACGGAUUGGGAAUCGGGAGCACGCCGCUCGUUUCACGGCGCUCCUAUUCGGAGGGUCUCUUUCAUGAUCCUUAAGAAGGAGCCUAGCAGGGUGAAAUCACUGAGAUGAAUUGGAAAUCCAUCUAGCAAGUCUAGGCCCAUUCCAGAAAGUAGAUGUCUGACUGAAGAGAUGGACGGUGAGAAGAGCACAACUGGCAAUUGAACUAUGGACAGAGACCCUCCUACAAAGUAAUUGAGGCAGCUGCAUGUUGUCCCAGUUGAAGCCACCCACUCCACUACACGUUACCAAGAACUGUUUUGCUAGCAAAGAAAAAAAAAAUCCACUGGAUUUCAGUAGCAACUGCUGUUAUUUAUAUUUUUUGGGGGUGGGGGGUAGUGAGGUGGACUUCUCUUAGGUUGAGAGAGUGCUAAAUAACCCCUACUCGAAUUUCCUGACCACCUAUAAUUUAAUGGGAUUUCAAAAGCACUGUUAUGUGAAAAUGAGGAAAUCAUCCCUAAGACUUUGGCCUCAACCACAAAGUUACUGUGCCCUCACCCUGAAACUCUCCACAAAACUCCCGUGUGGGUCACUGAAUGCAAAUAGAUUUAAUUGCCUCAAAAUGACACUUGUUUCAACAGUAGCACAGUCAAUGGGAACAAAUAAAGACUUUUAUUUACACAACAUGAUGAUGGGCUCUGUAGGCAAAUAUACGGGAUACAUCAGAACACUUUUAUAGAGCUGGGUACUUUAGGUUAAGUACUUUGUUGACAAAGUGUCCCUUCACUGUCUGAACUUGCCAUGCUUAGCUUAUGAACCCAGGUCCUUAACAAUGAAACUACUUGACUCCUAAAGUAGCCACCAACAUCUUUGACAAAGACAACACUGAAAGAUUUGUUUGACACCAAUGCGACAACAAUGUCCAUGAGGUGUUGGCCUGCUCAGCCUCUAAGACCAAUGGGACCUUGCGUUACCAGCAGGACUGAUGCGCCUUCAUAACAACGAAAACGCAUACAAUGCACCUUAUCCUCACACAGCAGUGCUAAGAACGCAGUGUUCACACCUGGAAGAAACACCACAUCACGAGAACAUUCUUCAUCCGGUGUAGAUGUCCACAUAAUACACAGUAUGUAUUAUUCAAGAGGUUACUAUUCACUUCUGGGAUUUGAACACUAAACCCUUCAGUUCAUGCUGCAGUAUAUAUAAUUUCUUUCUAAAAUUUCUUCACAAGAAAUCUUUCACAAUGUGCCCUGCAUUUUUUUAUAAUUAUUGAACUGGCUUAUUUAACUGGCCACGCUAGUUUGCUGCCAAAUUAAAGAGCUGUCUGUAACAUCACAUGCAAAUCCUCAGUCUGUAUGAAACAGGUGCCCCUAUAUUUGACUAUGCGCCGUCACUAAUGUGUCUGAGAAGGCAGAGUCUGUGUUAUGUAUUUUAUAGCCCACAGGCAAGAACCACAAGAUGUACUUCGUAUUUUGGAGACUGAGGUGGAAAACAGAGGUGGAAUGUAGCACUUUCCGAUGCAACUUUUAAAAGCAUAACCAAU
Molecule: long non-coding RNA, 1653 nt
Organism: Brienomyrus brachyistius
Lineage: Eukaryota; Metazoa; Chordata; Actinopteri; Osteoglossiformes; Mormyridae
Exons: 3
Source: RefSeq, a predicted model, not a curated record